UCGAAAUCUUGAAAUUCCACCAUCCGGAGCUAUUGUAAGUCUGACGUGGCUCACUGGGCCAAACCAAUCCAAAUCUUUCAGCUCAUAAACGUGUGGUUUAUUUGCAGAUAACUAUAAACAAAGUGUUCCUUCAACCUUGGCAUUGUCUGGAAAAUUACCCUUGAAAUGUGUUGUAUCAAUGAUGAUUGUUUCAAUUCUACCAACACUUCCAAGACGAAAUAUAGACCAUUCACAACCAGGCACCUGAAAAAAUCACAAAUUAUAUUCAAAUUGAGAUAAAUAAUUUGUAAUUUUGUUGAAUAAAUUACGGAACAAGAUAAAAGUAUAA
Molecule: long non-coding RNA, 328 nt
Organism: Aphidius gifuensis
Lineage: Eukaryota; Metazoa; Arthropoda; Insecta; Hymenoptera; Braconidae
Exons: 2
Source: RefSeq, a predicted model, not a curated record